This 468-nucleotide ribosomal RNA is filed under the name uncultured bacterium. RNAcentral's name for it is "partial 16S ribosomal RNA". It matches the Rfam family "Bacterial small subunit ribosomal RNA", at positions 28 to 507 of the family's 1533-position model. The record is from RNAcentral.
GACGAACGCUGGCGGCGUGCUUAACACAUGCCAGUCGAACGGAAAGGCCCUGCUUUUGUGGGGUGCUCGAGUGGCGAACGGGUGAGUAACACGUGAGUAACCUGCCCUUGACUUUGGGAUAACUUCAGGAAACUGGGGCUAAUACCGGAUAGGAGCUCCUGCUGCAUGGUGGGGGUUGGAAAGUUUCGGCGGUUGGGGAUGGACUCGCGGCUUAUCAGCUUGUUGGUGGGGUAGUGGCUUACCAAGGCUUUGACGGGUAGCCGGCCUGAGAGCGUGACCGGCCACAUUGGGACUGCGAUAGGGACCAGACGGCUACGGGAGGCAGCAGUGGGGAAUCUUGCACAAUGGGCGGAAGUCUGAUGCAGCAACGCCGCGUGCGGGAUGACGUCCUUCGGGUUGUAAACCGCUUUCGCCUGUGACGAAGCGUGAGUGACGGUAAUGGGUAAAGAAGCACCGGCUAACUACGUG